This 24-nucleotide non-coding RNA is filed under the name Drosophila melanogaster (fruit fly). Lineage: Eukaryota; Metazoa; Arthropoda; Insecta; Diptera; Drosophilidae. The record is from RNAcentral.
ACCUGAUUGAUUGCGUAGACGACG